GGGUUAGUAGGUUGGUCAUGCCUCUGGUAUGUACUGGUCUCACUGAUUCCUCCUUCCUGAUGAACCUUAAUGCCAUUUAUUUGGUGUUUUGGGGAAUUUGGACUGUUACCUUGAGAAAAUUAGAGUGUUCAAAGCAGGCUUAUGCCUGAAUACAUUAGCAUGGAAUAAUAGAAUAGGACGUGUGGUUCUAUUUUGUUGGUUUCUAGGAUCGCCGUA
RNAcentral lists this ribosomal RNA (216 nucleotides) under Campeiostachys nutans. RNAcentral's name for it is "Elymus nutans partial small subunit ribosomal RNA". The stretch from base 40 to 216 matches the Rfam family "Eukaryotic small subunit ribosomal RNA", at positions 686 to 864 of the family's 1831-position model. The record is from RNAcentral. Lineage: Eukaryota; Viridiplantae; Streptophyta; Magnoliopsida; Poales; Poaceae.